AUAAAUAAAUUUGCACAUAAUUCAAAUAGCCACACACCCAAAACUGCCAAAAGCCCACCCAAACACUCAGCUCCUAUCAAAGAUGCAAAACAGAGCUAGCUUCCAGGGAGAGGGAGAGUGAACAAGCCCUAUUGAUCGAAACCCUAAAUUGUAGUCGCCGCCGCCGCCAUGGCCACUGCCACCACCACAGCGAUUCAUCUCCUUGCCGCUAGCGCCAAUGCCACCACGUGCUUCGACAUUCUCUUUUCCCAUUGGCUCUUCCGUCGGCGUGUCUCCUGAGGUUACGACACGGUAACGUGCUUCGACAUUCUCUUUUUCGUUGGCUCUUCCGUCGGCGCGUCUCCUGAGGUUACGACACGGAAGGAAUUUGGUUCAGACACUAUUGAAAUUUCGGGAAAACAAAGCUAAUGUGUGAUAACAUGAUUAAGUGGAGGAAGGAAUUCAGUUCGAAAACUAUUGUAGAGGACUUUGAUUUCAAGAAAAUGAAUGAAGUGAUAAUUCUUCUUUGAGCCUUAGACUACAACAAAAGUUUAUGUGAGCAUGAAGAGCUUGUUCCAGAUUUUUAAUUUUUUUUUUAAUUUUCCAGCUG
This is a non-coding RNA of Arachis ipaensis, 589 nucleotides long. Lineage: Eukaryota; Viridiplantae; Streptophyta; Magnoliopsida; Fabales; Fabaceae. The record is from RefSeq and is a predicted model, not a curated record.